ACAAGACCUUUUUACCUCAAUGAUUACAUAUGAUGAGGCUGGUAUGAAGGGAAGCUGACGUGGUUGUGCAAAGGAGAAUCCACAAUUGCAGAAUUGUUGGUUGAUGGUACUACAAAGGACAACAUGAUCACAAUAGAAUUAGCCAAUGAUUUGGAAAAUAUUUCCUGAGCAUAAGAAGACAAAUUUUGUUAGUAGGGAAGUUAG
This 204-nucleotide long non-coding RNA is filed under the name Glycine max (soybean). Its description in RNAcentral is "long non-coding RNA (GMAX_LNC000033)". The record is from RNAcentral. Lineage: Eukaryota; Viridiplantae; Streptophyta; Magnoliopsida; Fabales; Fabaceae.